RNAcentral lists this ribosomal RNA (478 nucleotides) under uncultured organism. Its description in RNAcentral is "partial 16S ribosomal RNA". It matches the Rfam family "Bacterial small subunit ribosomal RNA", at positions 330 to 799 of the family's 1533-position model. The record is from RNAcentral.
CGUACACUCCUGCGGGAGGCAGCAGUGGGGAAUUUCGGACAAUGGGCGAAAGCCUGAUCCAGCCAUGCCGCGUGCAGGAUGAAGGCCUUCGGGUUGUAAACUGCUUUUGUACGGAACGAAACGGCCUUUUCUAAUAAAGAGGGCUAAUGACGGUACCGUAAGAAUAAGCACCGGCUAACUACGUGCCAGCAGCCGCGGUAAUACGUAGGGUGCAAGCGUUAAUCGGAAUUACUGGGCGUAAAGCGUGCGCAGGCGGUUAUGUAAGACAGUUGUGAAAUCCCCGGGCUCAACCUGGGAACUGCAUCUGUGACUGCAUAGCUAGAGUACGGUAGAGGGGGAUGGAAUUCCGCGUGUAGCAGUGAAAUGCGUAGAUAUGCGGAGGAACACCGAUGGCGAAGGCAAUCCCCUGGACCUGUACUGACGCUCAUGCACGAAAGCGUGGGGAGCAAACAGGAUUAGAUACCCCAGUAGUCCCAUG